AUUGGACGCUGGCGGCAUGCUUUACACAUGCGAGUCGAACGGCAGCGCGGGCUUCGGCCUGGCGGCGAGUGGCGAACGGGUGAGUAAUACAUCGGAACGUGCCCAGUAGUGGGGGAUAGCUCGGCGAAAGCCGGAUUAAUACCGCAUACGACCUGAGGGUGAAAGCGGGGGAUCUUCGGACCUCGCGCUAUUGGAGCGGCCGAUGGCAGAUUAGCUAGUUGGUGGGGUAAAGGCCUACCAAGGCGACGAUCUGUAGCUGGUCUGAGAGGACGACCAGCCACACUGGGACUGAGACACGGCCCAGACUCCUACGGGAGGCAGCAGUGGGGAAUUUUGGACAAUGGGCGAAAGCCUGAUCCAGCAAUGCCGCGUGUGUGAUGAAGGCCUUCGGGUUGUAAAGCACUUUUGGCGGGAACGAAAAGGACUGUGCCAAUACCACGGUUCGAUGACGGUACCCGCAGAAUAAGCACCGGCUAACUACGUG
RNAcentral lists this ribosomal RNA (484 nucleotides) under uncultured bacterium. RNAcentral's name for it is "partial 16S ribosomal RNA". It matches the Rfam family "Bacterial small subunit ribosomal RNA", at positions 29 to 507 of the family's 1533-position model. The record is from RNAcentral.